This 30993-nucleotide long non-coding RNA is filed under the name Coffea arabica (coffee). RNAcentral's name for it is "long non-coding RNA (CARA_LNC000842)". The record is from RNAcentral. Lineage: Eukaryota; Viridiplantae; Streptophyta; Magnoliopsida; Gentianales; Rubiaceae.
AGGCAAAAUCUGAAACUCCGGAAGCGGAACAACACCAUCAUUAGUGAAUACUUAAUAAUAAAUCUCUAAUUAAUACAAGUAAAAUACUCUCUAAUGCUACCUCCUCCCCUCCCAAAAAAGGCCGGCGGGGGUGUAGAAACAAACUAGAAAAUUAGAUGAGAAAAGAAAGUCAAAUCAAAUGGGGACCGGAUUUUCGUAUUCAUCAGGCAGAAGAUUAACGUGUGUGUAUGGUAGUAUAAAAAACAAACGCAGGCUCCAGUUCGCUGUCUCAUCAUCGGCCUGGCUAAAUAAUUUCCCAAAUCAAAUCCAUUUUUGGCGGAGAGGAGCAGUCAAAUUCAUUGCACUCUUUAGAACGAGGCGAGAGACGUGUAGAGAGGGAAAUAAGGGCAGACAGAAUUCGAUCAAACGCUCGACCAAUCAAUCAAAAGAUGAUAAGAGUGGGGAUGAUGGUGGAGCUUCUGCAGGAAUACAAGAGUUUGGUAAUGGCAACUCUGAGAGAGCAGAUGUCUCUCCCCACUCCCAGGCCGCCUUCUUUUCUGUUCCUCAGAACCCUUCCCUCUGCCUCAACCGCCAUCCUCCGCCGCCACCACGACUCCGACUCCUCUACUUUCUUCGUCUAUUUCUAGCCACGUUCAAUUAUUCUUCCUUCUCUUCUCAUCGCGGAGCGGCGUCCAUGACGCAUCGAAUCCUUGUUUUUCCGGCACCAGUUUAUUCUUGUCCUACUCUCACGAGUUAUUACAGCAAAUAGCAGUUGUGGUUUUUGCUGGUUAUUGAUUUAUUAUUGUUAUUAUUAUUGAACACCAACGUACUACCAAUACGAGUUUUCUUGAUUUCUUGCUAUUAUUAUUAUCAUCAUCAUCUCCAAUUCAUCCAAAUGUGUUGGACUCUUAGUUGGGGGGAUAAAAUCAGUUAAAGUAAUCCAUAAUUUUUGUUUAAUUCGAGUUUCUCUUAAAGCAAUCCGUCUACUUCCUGCACCUGCCUAUUUAUCCCCCAAAAACGCGUUGGUUGUUUGCAAAAAGUACACGUACCUAAAUAAAUUUGUUCUUUGAUUUUUGUGUAAAGCAUGUUCAGUUUAAUCUUGACUUUCAUCAUUGCAAACACUUCCUUUUAGUAUUUUAUAUAUAUCUUCCCCUUCAGUUUCUUCACACCUCUGUCAUCCUAAAUAAAAUCACAAAACCAUAAAAUUUGCCACUCACUGAAAAUUUUUGGAGAAAAAAUACACACUACUAAUUGAAAUUGUUGUCGAAGGUUGGUUGAACAGCGAUGCUAUGCUGUGUGACGUGAAACGUGAGUUCAUACUCAAACUAGAUUGUUUAUAGUCUCAAAAAUUGAAUUUUGACUAUCGAUUUUUGUUUUCUAUACAAAAUGUUUCCACAAAACUAUAGUAAAUGACUUUAAACAAAUUAAAGAAUAAGCUACUUCCUUGAUUUUAGUGAUUCCCAUAUUUGUGUUCUGUUACUUAAUAUUAAUAAUGUCGGAUAAGUUACCUCCUUGAUUUUAAGGAUUCCAUGUUUGUGUCUAUGGCGUCUCAAAGGAUUCCAUAUUUGUGUAUAUAGCAUAGUAAUAUCGUGAUUUACAAUCGCUGCUUUUAGGGAUUUUCAUGUUUGUUUCUAUCAUUUAGUGACAUCAUCAUUUACCGUCGCUGUUUUUUAGCGCAAUGUCAUAAUUUACCUUUUUAUAGGUGGACUCUGCUAGUAUUGGUUGAGUCAAAACUUGUUCACUAAAAUCCUAUUUAAAAAAUGGCGUUUCUAAAGGAUGAUAAGAAAAUCUAAGUUCACGUCUCUUUUAACUAAUUAGUAGUUGAGGAGUUUUGCUUCCGAGUUAAAAUUUAGAUUGCAUGCUCAGUAUAUGACUAAUAUUUUCUUUUGGUAUUUCCAGACAUGUCAUUGGAUUAUGUACUAUAUUUUCUAUUUCCUAAGCCUACCGGUCAACUUGCAAGUUGAAGAGUACGCUGAGAUCAUAAUCCAAACAGAGCACUCGCGUGUGCUCUCGAACUGACCUGCAAUGAGCCGAACAGCAGGAUUGGCUCUCCAUUGCGACUCCGACGCUCAAAUCAGUUAGGAAGUACAUGGGGCUAGAGAAAGUAAUAGUAUAUGUAGCGUAGUGUACCUUGUUGGAUCCCUCCAUUCCUUAUUUAUAGAACUGCUAGGGAUAGCCCUAAGGAGUCCAAAGUUAUCCCCUACCCACAGUAGUUAUCCCAUUAGAAUACGACAGAAAAAUAUUGCUGUCAGUUUGAUAAUGAUCAAGUGACAUUGCUUCUUCGGACCGAACCGAGAAAUCCCUUAGAUAUGAUGCAGAGCGGAUCUUGUUCUAUCCUUGAUCAAAGAUUUCUCUAUGAAAAAUAUGAAUCGGAGUUUGAAGAGGGAGGGGGAAGGAGCCCUUGACCCUGACAGAUAGAGAAGGAUUUAUUCAAUUACAUAGUUUGGACUUCUAUAAUAUAGCACCCUUGGGCCUUUCUAUUUGAUUGUUUCGGAAGGCCCAAUGAAUUGGGAUUUUCCUAUUGGUCCAGCCAUUUUGGGGCAAGCGGAUCAUUUAUGAUGAAGAAUGAGCUUCAAGAGAAUGAUUCGGAGUUCUUGCAAAAUGAAACCGUGCAGUACCAGAUACGAGAUAGAUCUUUCGGUCAAACAGGCUCAUAUGUUGGACCGAACUGGCUAGAAAACUAACACGUGUCAAUGGACAAUUGGCUCCUCUACACAGGUUAUUAUUGGGUGCUCAUAAUGCAAUUAAAUUGUAUAAUUAUAGGCCAUCCAAACGACUAAUAUAACGCAAAAAUCUCACUGGAGAAACUGUGAUCCUCAAAGCCGGCUACAGUUUGCAAAGCAGCAUGGUCCAUAUGAGCGAGCGAGCGAGCAAGCAAGCGUGUUUCGUAACUAGGAUGAAGAUGCCAAGACACUAAAAUCCAUAAUCGCCAAAACUGAUAGCAUUACAACUUAAAGCUCUGCAUAAGCAAACUCGCAACAGUAGCACCAAAAAAAAAAAGCACAGAGACCAGUCGGCCGUUGAGCCGACAAAUAUUUUUCUCUACUAAGAUGAUCCCGCAAAUGUCAAGCGCAAAAAGGGAAAAAAAAAAAAUGACAAUCCUAGCUAUCAUUUAGGUGAAUGAUUGAACAAAAUGGUGCCCCAUUUCGAACUCUUAACACUGGAAUGCAUCAAAAAUUGGUAAAAACCAUGGUCCAAUUUUAGGUUGUUAGCUCCAUGAUAGCACUGACGAUAUCUCCAUCGUGGGCCUUGAGAGCCUUGACAGCCCUGCACCUCGUCACCCCCGCCUGAGUCAUCACCAAAUCGAUAUCACGAGGCUCGACACCAGUCUCAUCAAUCUCUUCCUCUUCUUCAUCUGCCUGUACUGCAGCACCUGAAGCAGAGAUAUCCGACUUGGCCAUCACAGAGCCCAUGUCCGGCAUCCUGAACUGCUGGGCUGCCUGUGUCUGCAGCUGAGAGCUCAAGUCCUCUAUCUUAGCUUCUCCGAAAUCACGUAGGUAUCAGAAUUUGGGCUUUUGAACACAUCUGGUUUUGAGAUGAAAAACAAUAUCUGCAAACAGUUGAAGACGAUUGGCGAGAACUGAGAAGGGACCAAAACGAGGCAAACAAAAUGAAAUAAACAGAGGAUAGAAUACAGGCCUACAUUUUUGGUUCUCUUAAUGGUGACCCUAGUGACACCAGUAACAGGUUUCAUUCCCAGCUUCAACAUUGCCUUGCGGCUCUUCUUUUCACUCCUGCUCUGCUUUGAACUCUCGUUAGUGCCUGCAAGUAAAUGUCAAUCAGUAUAAUUCAGCAAUGUCAAAGCAACAAGGUGGUUGCAAAGCAAGGAGAACAACCAACACUAGAAUACCACUAACCAAGAGCGACGCAGCUAGUGAAUGUAUCAUCUGAUUCACACGUACUACUAGAAUACACCAUCAUGAACCAAGAAAUGCAGCAGUUGGAACUUUUCAAAAUUUGAGUUGAAUGCAUUAGGGGGGACUAGUCUAAAUAUUUCAACCACAAGAGGAUUGAGGAGGGAACAUACGAUACAAAUAGCAUUUAUUAAUUGCCCACCAAACAUGGAGCACUACAAUCGGUAACCCAACUACUAGCAAACUAAAGCAUGAAGCAGAAGUACUUUAUGACGGACAUAAAUAUAAAGGAAAAAAAACCCCAAAACCGGACAUCUAGAACAGGAAAAACAACAGUAAACAAAUACUGCUAAGAAAACCUUGGGCACCGUCUUCUUUGUCAUCAUCCUCGUCGUCUGAAUCGUCGGCAUCGUCUUCGUGUCGUCUUCGUCUUUCACGUCCCCACUACCGGCUCAUCUCCCUGCAAAUUAAUCCUUUAAAAAAAUUAUUAAGCUAGCACAUCAAGUUAAAAAGGCAAACCGAAAAAGAAAAACAAAACUCGCGCGGAUAAUAACGUCUUGACUGAUAAAAAUAGUUAGAAACAGAAAAGGAAAAAGAAGAUUAAAAGAAAAUUAAGAAGGUAGAAGAAGUUGGUUAGCAAACUGAGAACCUGAACUUUUUGUCGACGUCAAGUUCUUCCACGACGGGGCCCGGCAUGGCUUUCUUUGAUUGCUUCUGCUUGCUUUUCCAGAUGAUGGAGAAACAGAGUGAGAGAGACACACAGCGGGUAGCGACGACUGGAGGAUUAACCUUUGUUGGCGUGAGGACGGAAAGAUUUUGUUUUGGGUUUUUUUUUUUUUUUUUUUUUUGAAACUAGGGUUUUCCACAUAUUGGUGGGUAUGGGCCUUUAGCUGUUGGAUCUAGUGACUUCACGUUCCUGUCCUCAUUUGAAGCCCAAAAUGUUCCUCCCCAUCCUCCUCUUGCUCGCCUGCAUGAUGCCUCUCAUUUCGUUAAGAUUUGUCAUGCUAAUCUUUGGUUUUCGUAUUGACGAGAAAACAUCCAAAUCAUAUUUUUGUUUUUAUCAAAAGAAGGGAAAAAAAUUCAAAUCAUUUUUUUUGCUCAAAAGAAUUAUUUGCAAAAGUUUAUUCGCAAGUAUCAUCAACACAUUUUCUAACCAACUCAGUAUUUUUUUAAAAAUAAAUUAUUUUAAAUAAUUUACCAUCCAAACACGCCCAAAUAAUAUACUAUUGAAGCACAUAUUUACUUUCGUUGUUCCUCUUUUUUUUGCUAAUCAGUUUAUUCCAAAACUUUUCUACGCCCAUAUGCGGCAGAAAAGAACUUUUACAUAAAUAUUAUAGUACUCCCUCCGUCCCACUUUGAUAGUCUUGUUUUUCUUUUUCGUCCGUCCCAAAUUGUAGUCCACUUCCCCAUUAAGGAAUGUAGUAAUCUUUCAAAUUGUCUAAAAUACCCUUAUUAAAUAUCUUGUUAUUAAUACAUUGUUAUUAAAUACUAACUCACUACAUUGAAUACAUUGAACUUUUCCAAUGCACUCUUCGUGAUUAGCAUAAGGGUAUUUUAGGAAAUUAUUAAUCUAAAUUUAUGUUUCCAACCAAAUUAAUUACACUUUCUUAAUCUGUGUGAAAAAAAAAACCAAGACUAAUAAAACGGGACGGAGGGAGUAUAAUUUUUUUCUCUCCUAAGUUAUGAAUGGUCUGCUCUUCGUUUCCUUUUAGCGAUUAUAUCUAUGAUCGUCAUUAAUAUUAGCAUACUAGUUUGUCACUAAAAUUCACAGUUCUGUGCUGCCAUUCGACUGCUGAAACUUUGAGAAAAAAUUCGCACGAUAUCCAAAACGGCGAACCCCCUGUCAUUCACAAUGCGCUGAUUCCUACUCACUGACAUGUAUUGUAUUACUAAUCAAUAUGCUGCAACUGUGGCAAAAACCAAAGAACUCCAAUGCCUGAUCAUCAUCCUAUACGAAAUUUAUUCCGAGUAACGCAACCGAAGUCCAAACCAAUCCACCCAGUCCUUCCAGUAGAAAUGCCCAGCAAAAAGCUACCCUCAAUUAUUUUGUCACCAAGGAAUUUUGGCAUCAGCUGAAAUCCCCAUCCUGCUGUUGUUUUGCUGCAAACACAAACAGUUGGAUUUGGAAUGAACCUGGAGAUUUUUUCUUUUUUCUUUUUUCUUUUUUAAAACAAACUCUGCAACAGAAUGGUAGGGUUAUUGGCACAAUCUAUAUAUGUUGCCAAAUCCUGCACAUUACCGAUCACACCGGAAGGGAAAACCUUAAUUCUGAGUAUUCCGUCAGAUUACCAGUUGGCAAACAACACAUACAAGCAGACUCGAGCGAGUAAUUACUAUUUAUAGUGAGGUGUUCCCUGAAUUCUUUCUGACCUUCCUCCCCGCCCUCAAGCAGCAUUGUCUAUAGCAUGGCAAUGCCCGAAGCUCCAGUCCAGUUUUUGCAAGGAGCAGCCGCAUCACAAACAAAACAAUAGCACUGCACCGUGCAGCAGAUAUUGGUUACAACAAAAAGAAAAUAGUUCCAACAUCACAUCAAGAAGCUGCAGCAAUUAUAGGAUAAUUAUGGAUUGGAUUGACAUCAAAAGAAGAAAGAAAAAAAAAUCAACAUUACCAAAUCACAAUAGCUAUCGUCAGGUGUCUGCCCAAAAGGAUUCUUGACGCAGACAUGUCUGAAAUGUGUGUCCCUACAUGCCACCUGCGGCACCAAAAUGGACAUGUUUUAUUCAAUUACCAAAACAUUUUCAAUUCUGUUCUGGCGAAAUAAUCCCAACAUUAACAGCCGCACUAACUAACGCGGGAAUCAAAGUUGGUAGUAAUGAAAAUGUUUUAAGGAAAAAGAAAAGUACCUUCCCUUUUCCCCAACAAGAGAGACGUCAGGAGAGACACCAUCCACAUUCUCGACAUUAUUCUUGGAGGACACGCUUAAUGUGAGAUCAUCAUCCUCACCAGGAUCAAAAUCUAGGAUGAAACAAUCUUCCCUCUCCUCUAUCCUCUUGAUAUUAUCUCUGUUUUUGAGGCAAAAGACAGGUCUUAAAGGAGUCCCUUUUAGCUCUGAUCCAGGCGACGGUGAAGAGCACAAGUCUAUGACCAUGGUAUCUUCUUCGUCUAUAACACUAGUACCAGCGCAUUUCACUAUUGGUGAUAAGGGCAACUUCUGCAUUUUGGUCAUCACCGGGAAGGAGAAAAAUAUACCUAUAAGCCCCAAAGCUGCUGCCACCAAAGCUAUUUGAAAUAAGAUUUUUUUUUCUUUUUUUUGCAGAAGCUAUUUGAAAUGAGGUGAGGACGUAGGAAUAGGAGGAGGGUGGCGGUAGUGACUAGAUAGACAGUCCAUGGAACCCAAAGAAGUUCCCAAAAUCACUACUCAAUCAUUCUUGAGAUUUGAGUGCUUUGAAGUUUGAACAUUCUUAAGGACGGCCAGAAUCCCAAGAGCGAAACAGGAACUGAAGCGACCCCCCAACCUGUACUCACAGAGCCGACAUUUUACGGGGCUAAGUACAAUUAGUUUUCCUGAACUUUCCCGUUGUAACAUUUUGGCUCCCCUUAAUUUCAAGGGAUAAUUGCAGAAACCUCAGGGGAAACCUCAGGGGAGGUUUCUGACAUUUGCACUGACCUCCCCUGUGGUUUGAACAAUUACACUAAUCUCUCUUGAGGUUACUAAUUCUUUGUAAAUUUAGUCCAAACGAUUAAAAUAUUAUUUUAGGGAGUGAAAUUAGAAUUUUGUACCAAAUUUGUCUUUUGUGCUAUAUAUCCAAUGAAUGACAAAGUACUAUAAAUCAAUUAAUAAUUAAUAAAUUUUAAGGAAUAUAAUUUAUGGGCAAACACGCAUUACUCAUUUAAAGUACCAGCUCUUUACAAGUAUUUUACUUUCAAAUAUUUAAUUUAUGAUAAAUAUAUCAAUAUUUGUAAGUAAAAUUCAAAAAUUGUUAUAGUAAUAUUAUUGCAAAAAGGAAAUCGAUAGGCUAUUUAUUUAAUAUAAAUUAAAUAUUUUUUUAAAAAAUAAAUGGCCCAUAAAAUAUUAAUUUUUAAUGACUUUCAUCCAUUACACGAGUAAAUUAUUCGCUCUUUAUGUGCAUUUUAUUCUGAAUCAUUUAAUUUUUGUUAAAUACAUAAAUGUUUGUAACUAAAAUUGAAAAAGUGUUAUAUUAAUAUUUUUACGGAAGAGAGAUUGGUAGGUUUUGUAUUUAACAAAAAUUAAAUAUUUGAAAAUAAAUACAAAUUUGUAUUUGAGCGUAAAUAUUUGUAUUAAAUUAAAUGUUUGAAAGUAAAAUACCCUUAAACCGGUCCUUUAUAGGCAAACACGCAUUACUCAUUUAAAGUACCAGUUUUUAAGGAUAUUUUACUUUCAAACAUUUAAUUUAUGAUAAAUAUAUCAAUGUUUGUUAGUAAAAUUCAAAAAGUGUUACAGUAAUAUUUUUGCAAAAAGGAAAUUGGUAUGUUAUUUAUUUAAUAUAAAUUAAAUAUUUUUAAAAAAAAGACGCAUAAAGUAUUAAUUUUUUAUGACUUUCAUCCAUUACAUGAGUAAAGUAUUGGUUCUUUAUAAGUAUUUUAUUUUUAAUCAUUUAAUUUAUGUUAAAUACAUAAAUAAUGUUUAUAACUAAAAUUGAAAAAGUGUUAUAUUAAUAUUUUUACGGAAGAGAGAUUGGUAGUUUUUGUAUUUAACAAAAAUUAAACAUUUGAAAGUAAAUACAAAUAUGUAUUUGAGCGUAAAUAUUUGUAUUAAAUUAAAUAUUUGAAAGUAAAUUACCCAUAAAGAGCCAGUACUUUAAAUAAGUAAUAUAUAUUUGCCUAUAAACUAUACUCUUUAAAGUUUAUUAAUUGUUAAUUGAUUUGUAGUAUUUUGUCAUUCAUUGGACAUAUAGUACAAAGGACAAAUUUGGUAAAAAAUUCUAAUUUCACUCCCUAAAACAAUAUUUUAAUCAUUUGGAUUGAAUUUGCAAAGGAUUAGUAACCUCAAGGGAGGUCAGUAUAAUUUUUCAAUUCACAGGAGAGGUCAGUGCAAAUGUCAGAAACCUCAGAGGAGGUUUCUGCAAUUAUCCCUAAUUUCAAAUAUACGGACUUCACCCCUUCAUAAAGUUAUGCAAUAUGACAUUAAUACCCAUACAUAAUGGUUGUAAAUUAAUGCUAAUAUGGAGCAUUUUAUUUUAUUUUAUUUUUUAAAUAGAGUCACAUCAUAUAAAAUAUUUAAAAAAUAAAAGAUGAUGAAAUAUCAAAUAAUUUAAAUUUUGUGUUGUGGAGGAAAAAAAUCCAAAAUUUUUGUGCCAGUGUUCAAUCACUUCUCUUUCUUCCUUUUAUAUUAUAAACAGGCUGGUCUUAAUAAAAUUUACCUACUUUGCAACUUCAACGAGAUUCUCAUAAGUUUAUAAUAUGUGAAUUGGUAUUUUUAUGUCACUAUUGUACCUUGCUUUAUAUCUUAUUUGGAAAAAAAAUCUAGAUUCUCUAAACAUGUUUUUUACUACAUUUUUAUUUUUUAGUCACAUUUUCAUCUUGUAUAAAUUACAUUAAAAAUAGUAUUAGAGUUAAAAAGUUUACAAAAUAAUCUUUAUUCCAAAUGUACUAAUUAAUUUUAUUUCAUUUAAAGUAAGCUUUGAGAUGAACACGUUGAAUUGCUUAGAUCUUUUCUAUUUGCAAUUUUUUAAAUAUUUUUAUACAGUAUAAUUGUAUUCAAAUGGAUUUAGCAACGUUGAAAAAAUAGUACUAAUUUGCUAAGUAACAACAAUAUCUGACACGGUAUAACACCACUUUAAACUUACAUGGUAUAACACCAAUAUCUAAAAGAUAUUAGUACAAAUGAAUGUUAUUUAUAGUAAGCCCCUUAAGGUAUAGCUUGUUUCACCAUUUUAUCGCUUUACUUGCAAAGUCAUUUGUAAAUUCUUAUAUUUUGUAAUGCAAAAUAUAUAUGAUCUUCAAAUCCUUGACACAAUAUUGAACUUAUCAAAUAUACCAUGGGUCUAGAUCUUAAAAAUUUUAUGCCCAAAUUAUAUCUUCAAGAUGUAGGAAAAUGACUAGCUUAUUUCAUGUGAGAAGGGGAAAAUAUAUAUAUAUAUAUAUAUACAUAUUAUUCAAAAACUAAAACGAUAAAAAUAUAAUUAAAAACCUACAAAUACAUAACAAUGUCAGUCUAUUUAUAGAUUUCUAAACGUCUAUGAUGUGUAUACAGAAGCCACAUUCUCUGUGGUAGUUGGAAUAUUUGCUUUACAUGAAAUUAUAGCUUUUCUUCUCACUCUUAACAAUAAUGUUAUGAAAACAUGGUAAUUUUGGCUCGAAAACUUCUAUGGUCAUUUUUUAACUCAUUCUGCUAAAAGGGAUUUUUUUCUCAAAUUUCGACAAUUUAAAAAAGGGGCAUUUUAGCUAUAUCGAGAGGGAUCAAAUCCUAAGGUCGGUGAGUAGUCAGAAGAAGGCAGGGUUUUUAAAGUUUUUUUAGUCUCAAGUUCGGGAUUCAAAUUUCAUUGUCAAGUUCAGACCCUGAGUCCCGUGCAUAACAGUAAGGGAUGAGAAAGCCGUGGGAGAAGAGUGAGAGGGUGUAAAAAAAAAAAUAUAUAUAUAUAUAUAUAUAUCGGACCGUCUGAUAUAAUUAACCCUCAAAAACUUGGACAUAAUAAAUAGGCCCAACCGUUCGUAGAAUAUAUAUGUAGUAAGCAGGCCCAACCGUCCGUAGUACGUAUAUGUAGUAAGCAGGCCCAAUCUUCUGUAGAUCAACUAGGGUUAGACAUUGGGGCAUUUUGGGUCACCAUUGCCUUAAAAUGCAGCUCCUGAUGUACGGCCCGGCAGAAAGUUGUAACGAAGUUUAGAAUGAAACAUCAGCAAAUAAUUGUAAGAUUCGAUUAUCAAGACAUCAGCUAUUCUUUUCCUUGUAAAGAUUAGAAGAAUUAGUGAAAAACAAGAAAAAUAUAAAAAAAAAACUAUUUCUGCUAUUCCAUUAGUACCAUGUUCUAGAUGCCACUUUAUACUCGCCGAGUAUCAAAAUAGUUUAUCAGAAACAAGUGCGUUGUGUAGGUUUCUUAACCUGAAUAUGAGGGUCAUUCCUAUUUGAUCAUUUGAAAACCGUCAAACCAGUGCUUUUAAGGGAUGUCUUGCAGGCAUUUGUUGAACAACGGUUGAUAUUUGAAUGCGAGCAUUCAUACUUGUUACUCUCUUCAAUUAUCGCUUUCCCUCCUAGUUGUACAUGUUAGCAUCCAAACGCGGAAUAAACAACAUUGAGAUAUCAAAUGCACAACAAUUUAAUAGCAAAUAAGCCAAAAACAUGAAAGAUAAACGACACAUAAUAUUUAACGUGGUUCACCUCCACCAUUGAGCAUACGUCCACGAAGAGAAACCUGUUAUUUAUUAUGAAAAGAAAAUCAUGUACAAGAAUACAACUUGAACCCAAGUCCAACCUUUGUAUACCAUCUCUCAUCUUCCAAAAACCCUCUCUCACACCCCAUGUAUAAGGCUACAUGAUGCCGCUUGUGUCUCCUUGUGUGUCUCUGUAGUAUGCCAGUCUACCUAUUUAUAGAGAACAUUACUGCCAAAAAAUCAAAUAACAAUUGGAAACCAAUACUAUUUCCUAAACUCAUAUAGAGUAGAAAAUAGCAUCUAAUUCUAGCUAAAUAGGGAUUUACUUGACUACUAUUUCAAGUAACUAAAUCCAAUUAGGAAACUAGUUACUUCCCACACCAAAUAGGAAUCUUGAUUAAAAGAAAUUAAGCCAAUUUUCUAACAGUUGAUACCUAAUUUUGACCUUCAAUCGAUUGUGAGGAAAGCCAAAUGAGGUGAAUUCGUGAUCGCGAAGAGUUAUAAAUUGCUCACUUUCUAAAGAAUAUAGUAAACAUAACAAUAUACACAACUGCAUGAGAUUUAAUGUUCUAAUAAAGGGGAAGGUGUUUGCUCCAUUUGGAUUGGCAUAUUUUUCAAAAAAUAAUUUUUUUAAAUACAAUGUUACAGUAAUAUAUAAAUAAAAAUAACUCAGAAAAUAUUUUAUCUAUCACCAAAUAUUUCAAAAAAUAUUUAUAAUCAAAAUUUUUCAUAUACAUUGUUACAGUAAAAUAUUUCAAAAAUAUCUCAGAAAACAGUUAUCAUUUCCAACAUGGUUGUCUUCGUUUCUCAAGAGGCACUUAGAACCCUCGGAGCCAAUUGCCAAACUUAGUGCCCCCUCCGCCACGUGUCCUGCUUCGUUAAGUUGUCAUGAAUUUUCUUCAGGCUUUGGUUGGUUGGAUCCAAGUUUCCAUCUUCAUUGCAUUUCUGAAAGGGACCCGUUGGAAUGAUUCCUUAACCUAAACUAACUCCAAAUUGUAAAACUACUACCCCUGUUAUUUCUGAAAGGGACACGUUGGAAUGAUUCCUGUUGUUUCAAUAUUUAUAUAUAUAUCACAAUUUGCUCUGACCCCAAGUACUGGGUUUCGUAUCCCACAUCGACAAACUGGGGGAUUGGGAGGGUAUAUUAGUCUCCUGUGGGACCUUCAAAAGUUGCCGACUUUGAGGGUUGCUCGGGGUUAAGGUUAGUAUAAACUGUCAAGAGUCUACAGCGCUGGACAAAAAAAAAAUAAAAAAAUAGUACUCCGGCAACUCGAAUAAUAUAAAGAAAAAGCAAGAUUGUGCAGUAGGUAGAGAAGUUGGUGAGGAGAGGGAAAUUUUUAGGUUUUACACGUCUGUCACACUUUCGCUACUUAAUUUAUUGAUUUUUGUUGACUUAAAAAUAGCGGGCAGUCGAGAUCAUCAGAGUUGAAAUGGAGUGACGGUCGCCAAUUGCUGCUAGUAAAUGAGCUAUGAAAAUAAAUCCGGUUUGAACAGAAGGAUUUUAUUUUCUUUCUUUUUAAUGUUUAAUUUUUCUCUUGGCAAUGGAGAGAUUAGGGAUAGAGAAUUUCCAAAUCCUUACCGUGAUGCUUGUCCGCGGCUGAACUCUAUUAUAUGUUUGGUUUCUCAACUAAAAGAAUCAAUUCUCCAAAUAAGCCCCGUGAUGAAGCGAAAUCACCAAUUUUGACAUGGUCAAUGUCAGAAUUUUGACAUAUGGAGAGGAAGGUGGAUGAUGGAAAAUCGGAAAUCCCUAAAUUUUAGGGACGAGCAAAUGGUUUGAUUCGAUCACUCUAGACAUCAAAUUUAAGGUCCCGUCCUUCGAAAUGAAGACCAGCACUACGUGGUUUGAUUCGAUCAUUAAUAAAACCCUCUCUACUACUUCAAGACCCCAUUACUCUUCUGUUCAGGACAGUCUUCGAUGGAGUCCCUCCCUUGAUGCCAAGUUUCAAUUGAAAUCAGCAUAUGAGUUAGCUUCGAAUCGUGCCACCACAACCGCACCAAAUUUCAACUUUGAACAGAUAUGGAAGCUAAAAAAUCCAUUUUAUGAAGCUGAACUGAGAGGAGCUGGAGGUAUCUUUAGAGAUUCCUCCGGCUGUUGGAUCAAGGGAUGCAGUCGAAAUCUAGGAUUGGCCGCUAAUAUGAUCGCAGAAUUCUGGGGUAUUAGAGAUGGGUUGGAAUUGACCGUGUCUCUGAAUAUUUUGUUACUGGAAGUGGAAGUUGAUUAUGCUGACAUUUCGACCUUGCUGGAUUCAAAUGAUGAUCCAGACCAUUGUUUUCGUAACUUCGUCAUGGAUUGCAGAUCCUUGCUGUCAUGGCUCCAGCUUGUUAAACUCAAUCAUGUGCAUCAGAAAGUCAACAGAUGUGCUGAUGCUUUAGUAAAAUUAGGAUGCAAAUUGGACGUGCCUUUAGUGAUUUUUUAUCCUGUCCUCGAGAUAUUUCUUUUGCACAUGAUGAGGACAACAGAGGGCCUGUUUACCCCGUAAUGUUAGGUCGGAAUGUAAUACUUAGGCUUCAUCUAUUGUUCUGCCUAAUCUUUAUUAAUGCUAGGUCCUAUUUUUACCAAGAAAAAAAAAAAAGAAACCUAUUUUGACAUAGUCAUAUUCAACCUCCACGAGAAUGUCACUCAAUAUUAAUAUUUUUUUUUUGUAACAUUUCUAUAAUCUAAUCUAUCAUAUUCUAUAGAGAAAUCUAAAGAGACUGUAUAAGGGGUAUAACCUAAUCUAUCAAUAUUAAUAUUUUGUCUGUAUCAUUUUUAUAAUAUAAUCUAUUCUAUACUAUAGGGAGUCUAAAGAGAUUGUAUAAGGGUAUAACCUAAUAUAUCCUAUUCUACAAAGGACUUGGGCAGUUAAACAGACUCGACUAGAUCAAAAAAUGUGCUCUGUGCAUCUCUUUUAAAUUUUUUUUCCAUUGCAUGUGAAAAUACGAGCCACAUAGGGAUUUCAUCCCUUUUUUGUGGCUAUUGAGCCAAAACUCAGUGGUUAAAAUAUCACGUCACUUAAUAUGCUCUCCUGAAAAUACUUUACUUUCAACCGAACAUACCCCACAAUCUUACAUCUUUUCAUAUUAUAUUUUACAUAUAAAAGCUUUUUCUUUCAAGGAACAUGUAAAAGUUCAAUAACUUACAAACUUAUUAUUGAAGAAUCAAGACAAUAGCGUAGUAUCUAAUGUUUAAUUUACAAUAUGGAAAAGUACAAUAAUAAUAUUUUCUUCCUCUUCUUCCUCUUUUCAGUCACGGAUAUGUGAAUGACUGCGUCCGGAUUGUGUUAUUCUUUGACUCUAAGAUGACCUUCGAGAUAACGAAACAAUCGUUUAAAUUGCAAAUAGCGAUUUGAUGAAUCUUUAUUUCACUGGUAUAGGUGUAUAAGUACCAAUCCUGGUGCAAAUGCAUCCGACUAAACUUCAUUUUCCGGAUAAUAGUAGGACAUUUUUUUAAGUAAAACAUCGCACUCAGAAACGCUAAUGCACAGAGAUUAGAUUACACCAGAUCAAGGCGUUGGUGUGCGGUCAGUGGUGGGUGAGGCGGUGGGGUGCGAUGGUGACUUCUACCAACCACCAGACAGUGACAUCGAGCGAGGGUAUGAGGGAAGAAAAGCCCUCCGGAAAAACAAAACAAAACAAAACAAAAACACACACAGAGACACAGGAUUUUUGACGUCAUACAUAGUAUAUAAACUACUCCCCUCUGCUCUACCGGGUGCGUUCAUAUUCCAGUCUCACCUUUUCCUUCGUCCCGGAAGCUUUUCCCUUCACCUUUGAUUCCUCUCCAGCCAAACAAACCUACCCGCCAGGACAUUUCUGAUUUCUGAAGCUGAAGUUGGAGUAAAAAGAAAAAGAAAUCAAAUAAUGGCAGAGGAGGAAGCUUGCUUAUUCGCCAUGAGCCUGGCUAGUGCAUCCGUCCUUCCUAUGGUACUCAAAUCAGCCAUCGAACUUGACCUCCUGGAGCUUAUAGCCAAGGCUGGUCCUGGCGCCUACGUCUCCCCAUCGGAACUCGCCGCACAGCUCCCCACCCACAACCCGGAAGCUCCUAUCAUGCUUGAUCGCAUCCUCCGACUCCUGGCCACCUACUCUGUCCUCGAUUGCAAGCUCAACAAUCUGGCCGAUGGUGGCGUCGAGAGCUUUACGGUCUGGCCCCUGUUUGCAAAUUCUUGACCAAGAACGCUGAUGGUGUGUCCAUGGCCCCUCUUUUGCUCAUGAAUCAAGAUAAGGUCCUCAUGGAAAGCUGGUAACAUCCUCUACCUCUGUCUCUGUCUCCUCAAGUUAUAGUACUCCUGGCAUUAGCAAUACCGCUACUCCAUCCAUAAUAUAACGCAUUCAUGUCUACGUGUGUAUCUUCUUCCUCUUCCUGUAUGCUUGCAGAAUCCAUCAAUGUCUGUCUCAUCCCUUUUUUAACCAACAUCAACGACCAUUCUUUUUUCAAUAGUUAGCUAGAAGACUAAAUUGCUUAAUCCAAAGAUCAAAUAUCAAAACUAACCCCUAUGAAAUUACAAACACGGAACCAAAAUUUUAAAACAUAAAAAUAAAAUUAACACGCACACACUACACAUGGCGCAUUGUGAUAAUACGUGGGACUUACCAGCUUUACCUACUUCAAUUGCGAUGUUUUGUUUGUUCCUUUAUUCAUUGCUGUCUUUCCAAGUUUGCGCGUGCUCAUGGUCAUGAUCCACCAAGAUUUAUUCAAUUCUGCUGAAAAUCGUGCGAGGAAUGAAUCAGUAAACCCUCUGUAAAAAAUAAUAAAAUGCAUCUUUUUUUAAAAAGAAAUUGAGAAAAAAAAAAUGCUUUGAGAUUAUCAAUUAAUGCUGCUAACUCUGGUCCAAUCAGCUCAAAACUCAACUAAUUGAUCCUUUAUAAACUUGUAAUUUGAGCACUUAAAUUAGUAGCUUGCCGCAUUAAUUAUUUUACCUGCUACAGGUAUCACUUAAAGGAUGCGGUUCUUGAUGGAGGAAUCCCUUUCAACAAGGCCUACGGAAUGACUGCAUUCGAAUAUCACGGAACCGAUCCCAGAUUCAACAAGGUGUUUAACCAGGGAAUGUCUAAUCACUCCACCAUUACCAUGAAGAAGAUUUUGGAAGUUUACAGAGGGUUUGAGGGUCUGAAGACGGUGGUCGACGUGGGAGGUGGAACUGGGGCUACGCUCAAUAUGAUCAUCAGCAAAUAUCCCACGAUCAAGGGCAUCAACUUUGAGCUCCCGCACGUCGUAGAGGACGCCCCGUCUCAUUCCGGGGUGGAGCAUGUGGGUGGGGAUAUGUUUGUUAGCGUCCCUAAAGGGGAUGCCAUUUUCAUGAAGUGGAUUUGCCAUGAUUGGAGCGACGACCACUGCCGGAAACUCUUGAAGAACUGCUACCAAGCACUUCCGGACAACGGGAAGGUGAUCCUUGCCGAAUGUGUCCUUCCGGAAGCCCCAGACACCUCGCUCGCUACUCAGAAUGUCGUCCACGUUGAUGUCGUCAUGUUGGCCCACAACCCUGGUGGGAAAGAGAGACUGAGAAGGAAUUCGAGGCCUUGGCAAAGGGGGCUGGAUUCAAAGAAUUCCGCAAGGUUUGCUCUGCUGUCAAUACCUGGAUCAUGGAGCUGUGCAAAUGAAGGCUUACUUGCUUGAAUGAACCCUUUGUUUUGGGAGACGUCAUUUUUUCUCUUGCGUGAUUGGAUUGGUGGUUUCUAAUCAGUAUAGCCGUCUACUAAUGAACCUUCCUUCUGUAUUACUAUUAUUUCACAGCAGCAUUGAAACGGAAUAAGAAAGUGAAUGAAAUCAAUACCUUUUUUUUUUUUGUGCAUGUUAUUUAUAAUUAGUUUUACUUAUUUCCUGAAACUAAAGUGGCAUCAUCCUCCUUUUCCCGUUGUUUCUCAUAUCUAGUGAUGGAAAAAAGCACUGUCCUGAGUAAAUAUUAAUUAUGACAGCCGAGCCCAGUGUCUAGCGUCUAGCGUCGAGUGUCUACUGCCAGGAGGCAGAGUCAAGAGUGGUUUAGGUGAAGCGUCGUGAUAUCCAGGCAAAGUCAAUUGCCUGGGAUUAGGUUUAUUUCAUUCGGCAAAAGUCAAUUGCUUUGAGUCGAAAAAAGACAAACUGCUCGUUAGGAUUAGCAUGCUUAGUUCAUGUGCCGGGGUUCUUAGCUUAGGUUGGGAACACCUAGAGUAGUUUAUCCCACGUCGGGUCGGGGGGUUGGGUUAGUUGGAUAGAUAAGUACCUGGGAUUGUACCAAGAGUUGCCGGCUUUUGGUAUUAACUCUGGGAUUAGGUUUAUUUCAUUCGGCAAAAGUCAUGAUAUCCAGGCAGAGUGGAUCGUGUUGUGGGCCGCAGUUCUGAUAACAUCUGCUACUUUCAACCCAGACACCGCUAUAUCCACCAGAAGGGUCUCGGAGCGUGAUCAUGUAUUAUCAUCCUGGAAAAUUAGCAUGCAAGGAAGCAGUCGAUAUUGAUGAGAUAGUCAAUGAUGUACCUUGCUUUGUAAGUCAUAACAACGCGUUCAUAUAAAGUCUAGAGAUGCCUCGUAUGGUUGCUCAACAAUUAUACAGGGGAAGAAGUAAGCCUGGCAGCAAUUAAUUAUCUGGCGAAAAUUAAAUGGACCAAAGAAGGAUCAUUAAUUUACAAACACAUAACACAAUCAUCCUGUACUCAUAGACCAAGUGCAGAACCAACGAGGGCAGGGAACGAGAGGUUUUUGAGUAAUCCUUACAAGUCUCAAGCACAGACACAUGUAAAGAUUUCUCCACUUAUUUCACCAAAUAAAAAUGAAAAAAAAAAUAAAGAAAGAUUUAUUAAAUUCUGAAUCCCGUUUAUUGUGGCUCGGUCAUGUCAUCUAAGCAGUCGCCCCGAUUGAAGUCAACAACUCUUGAAGCCGCACCCAUGGAUAAAAUCCUUCCUGCUCCGGCCUGGAGUUAACACGCACGGUUGAACCCCUCCACACAACGCACAAACAAAUAUAAAUAACUGGACAGAAGCAGAACAAAUGGAGAAGGUUAUCAUGACAAUGAAAGGACAAGUGCUACUACAUUGGUAUCCCAUCCGUUAUUCACAAAGAGUACAAAUACCAGAAACUAACUAGUUGGAAGCAGCCGAAUAAUGGAAGGGAAAAAAGUUGGGGGACUGAAGGAAGCAAAAACUCAAUGGAAUGCCCGGGAUUCCCAUUAGUUCUUGAAAAGUUCCAAACAGUGUUCCUGGUCCAGGUUCCUGCUCCAGAACUUCUUGUAGUACUGGCAUAGGUGAAAUCCCUGUAUACGACUGGGGAACCAUCUGCUGUGAGAGGCUUCGGGCGCUGAUUACGGCAUGGUCACAGGGACAGAGGAAGGAACGCCUGACAGCCUUGGUUGAUCAGCAUUGACGACAGCUCGAUGCCAUACACUCUUGUAAAUCCCAUUGCUUAGAGCCUAAUUUGAUUAAAGUCACGGGAAUCAAAUCGUCUUCAAAAAUAAUUCUAAUAAAAGGAUCCGACGACGGGGGAAGGUAUACGGUAUACCUGUAACUGAUCGCCGAUGUUGACGACAAAGGCAUCGGGAUGGGGUUUCACGGCUAACCAUCUGCCAUCUCUAAGGACUUGAAGACAGCAGCGACGUUCAAAUCUUGAAGCAGAAUAGUGAGGGCAUUAGGAUCAGUGUGUCCGGGCAAGCCAUAGGUCAAAUCGGGUUGUGGACACGGAGGAUAAUAGUUGACGGCCAUGUGCUGUCCUUGAUCACCCAACACCUUCUUGAUGCAUUCCUUGUCCAGGCCUAGGCUCUCUGCGAUGGCUUCCUCCAAUCUCAACCCAAGUUCCCGUAUUUGUACGCAGUAAUUACUCACCAUUUCCCUAUCAACCCAAAUUAAUUAUUAUAUUUCCCCUCACUAAUUUUUGUGUUUAAAAUAUAUUGAAAAUGUAGUUAAAACCAUUGCCAAAGUCUCCAGUAGUGUUAUUUUCCGGAGGUUAAUUAUGGCUGGUGCUCGAAACUAAGGGUUCGUUUGAGAGUGGAUGAUUUUGAGAGAAAAGAAGGGGAAAGAAGAGAAAGUGAACAUUUUCUUCGCUUGCUAGUUUUUAUUAGGAAAGAAAAGAAGAGAAAUGAAAGGAUUUACGAGGAUAAAUAGUAAGUAAAAGUUUUUCUCCCAAAUUGGAGAGAAAUGGAAAGAAAAUUGGAGGAACCUUAUGAAAGUUUUUUAAAAUACCUAUUUUAUCCUUAAAAAUGUGUUGAACAAAUAUUUAAUGACUUUUAUAUCCAAAAUCAUUCGACUAAUUCUCAAAACUCCCAAACAACACAACAAUCCCUUCUCUUCUCUCCUCUCGUAACUUAAGUUUUCCCUUCUCUCUUUUCUAUCCUAAACUCCCAAACUUAGCCUAAAGUCGGUUCUGAAUUCUGAUGACGACGACCAGGAGGAGCGGAGUCAAAGUCAACACCAGUUUCUCUUUUUUUGGUGGACCGUGGGCUGGUUUCGUAUGAGCAAUCGCAGCCUCGGUGUGUUUAAAAGUGACAAUUGCACUCUGGGCUUUCGUUAUUUUUUUCCACAAAAUCCCUACAUCAUAUGGGGCGAAUUACCCGCAAUCAUAUCAAUCAGGGCCUAGAAAAGCCCAAGCCCAUCUUACACCAUAGGAGCGCUCGGCUGCAGAGGCUACGUCGCAUACCACCGCUGAUUGAAAUAUUGCAAAAAUGGUCCAGCAUCCGCCUGUCCACCAUCGUCAUCCAUCCAUGGCGUCGGUUGAUGAUUCUGGACAGAAACCACCAACGCGGAACACGGUCCCCCCACCCCCCCCCCGGCCAAGCAUUCCAUGCGUUUCGAUGCACGAAAGACCAGAAUAGUCUCUAUUUGGGUCAUUUACGAUCUAGAAAAGAAACUCUUCUUUUUUGUGCUAAAAGUAGAAAGGCCUAGAAAAGAAAACACUUUACAUACUCCCUCUGUGUACAAAUAUAUCAUGAGAUUAUAAACCAAUCCAUUCAGUUUUUUUUUUUUAAUUCCCUCUGUUCCAAAACAGGGCCUUAGUUUGAACUCUCUGUAAAAAAGCAAGAAAAGAGAGCAAAUAUUUGCUUUUUCUUUCCAGGAACCGACCAAGCAUUUUUUUUUCCUUUUUUCCUUUAGUCGCCAGAAUUGACAAAAUGUGUAGGCCUGAAACACGAUGCCCUGAAUGCUUGACUGAAAGGAAAAUCGUAUUCUCUUUAGUCUCCUCCUAUUAUACCAUUCACCCUUUAUUUAUGCUGAUCUGAUGCUGGCAAAACGAUGAUGUAUCGAUAAAUACAUGCAUAUAUGUAUGUACAUAGACAAAAAUUCAUGAAUGCAACAUUAUACUAACUAAUGCAUUAAGCCACCUCGACCCGCCGUAACAUCAAUCAGGGAAACAGUAAUAGUAGUAGUAGUAGUAAACACAGAAUUGAGUGCCCACUCAAUUAUUGAUCGCUAAAAAAUGCAUAUUAUUCGGUGUAUUUGAUCCAAAUUUCCAAGGCAAAGCUUUCAAGCUUACGUUUUCUGGAUAUGCAUUGGAUUGUCAAUUCCUACUAAUUUGGCAGGCCACGACGGGUCUGUUCUUGUUUAUUUCUUUCCAAAAAAAAAAAAAUUCCUAAAGAGAAGUGAUUAUUGGAACCAAAAACAAAAAAGAGCUUAAUAAAAGUACCUUUUUCCAACCUUAGAAAGAAAAAAGAAAAGAAGACAUUAAGAAAAUCACAAAAUCGUCUUCCGCGGAUGGGUCCUACCACGGCCUUUGCCCCUAAACUUUUUCGCUUUCCAAUCUUUCUUUAAAGAAAAGGAAAAAAGGCUUUAACUUUAAGCGCGAUUGGUUUUAAAGUUUUAAUUUUAAUUGAGAAGCAGUGAGCAGUUGUUCAGGACCGACCCCACCGCGCAAAAAAUGUGUGGACCGCAUAAAAUGACAAAAACUGCCGCAAAUGUAGAGUUUGCGUUUGCUUGCCGACUCCUUUGGCUUUGGUUUUGGUUUUGGUUUUGCAGCAAGGGACAGCACAGUCAUUGACACAACCAUACCCUCCCAUCUCUCUCUAUGUACCGGCGUACAUUGUAGGCUAGCAGCACACACACAUGGGGAGGAGGGAUUCGAUGCCUGCCUACGUCAACGCGGAGUUUGUGAUGUGACGUCAUCCGCCAUUUGUUAGACUAGGAAGGGAUUUUUUUUAAAUUUUUCUAGUUGGGGAGGGGGGGCACGGUCAGACAGACUAGACGACGCAUCCUAGAAAACUCCGCCCAACGAACUGUAGCACCAGGACCAGCCUGUACCUGUACGUGGCCUACUAGUCACUGCCACUAAUAAAAUGAGGUCAGCCCUCUAACGUCAUCGGCUGCGUCAUCCCCCUCAUCCAACGGCGCCGAAAGUAUUGAAAAUUGCACUCUGAUCUCAUUCCUCCGAUGGAUUAUUAGAGUGGACAACACUUAAAUGAGUUGCACAUGACGCAUCACCUUCUAGUACGCGGCCCUCCUAUUACUCUUCUUCUUCUAUACACUACUGAGUACGAGUACUAGCAUUCUAGCGCACUCCACUAGCACCCCCCCCCCCCCCUCCCCAAAAAAAAAAAAGAGGAAAAUCUUGGACAUACUUUUCGAGCAGUGGAGUGUUACUUUUCAACACCCGCGGAUGGAAGAUUUCUCAUUCUCACAGCAGCUGAUUGAAUAGUUCACACCCGCGGUGGCUUUUCAAUUUUCUAAUGCUCAACUUUUUUUUUGAAUAUAAUACUGGUACUAGUGAUGAAGGUUUGAUCCUGCCAUCAUUCAAGAAUCCGGAGGAGGAGAUUAAUUGAAACUAGUCACCGCAAUUUAAGGUCAGAGGUGGACCGGACCUUUAAUUGUUCUUUCCAAUCACUUCUCGUAAUUAGUAUAGACAGAAGAAGAAGAAGAAUUUUGAUCGGAAAGAACAAACCCUCCUAGGAAACUUGCGAAAGUUGCACAUUAUGAAAUUCAUGGCUAAACUGUUAGGCCAAUUUUAAAGUUCAGCUUCACCUAAACUGCUAGAUUUUUAAAUUCAAAUAAAUAAAUAUAAAAUCACGGCGUUCAAAUUGAUCUUCCUCUGUUGUCGCAGCACCUACAACGGAGUCCCUGGAUGCACCUAGCAAUAAUUGUAAUUGCUAGGUGCAUCCAGGGAGCAUUUCUAUAAAGACUUUCGUCCUAUUUGCUUUUACGAGCACGUUGCUUAAAGUACUACACCACCACCACCGCCACUACUACGAGUUCAGUGCAAUGCAUUUGUUGUUUUUUUUUUUUUUUAAAAAAAAAAAAGAAAAAAAAGAGUAUAAUAAAAACGUCUUGGUGCCCACACGGAGACUCCACUGCGUGCGGGACAUCCAUAGUCGCGAAACCUUUCAUACAAACAAAGGAAGCCAUGAGAUGUUGGAACACGACCGCAACACCCGGGAGAGUGCGAGGAACAUUAGUAUUUGGAUUGAAUAGUUAGUUUGGAUGACCUCAUAAAAUGGAAAGUUUCGCUUUUGAAAUCAUGAAAAGAUCAAAGCAUAACAGGAAAAAGAACAAGCACAAGUUCUCAAUUCUGAACCAAUUUACAGGAUUUUUAGUAGGGCCAUGGUCAAUUCGGUAAUUGUACUGCGUAUCUUUGUCAUGGUACUUGAGACGGGACUCGGAAUUUUUAUUACCUAUUUAAUAAAGAGUCUAGAAACGAAUCACGUGUAAAAGAUCUCUUUGUUGCCAUAAUAUUAUCAGACGCGUACGCGAUAAAUGUUACUGUGUUAAUUAAUUGCAAUGUUAAUUAAUUACAUGAAGGUAGUCCACCUAAUCCCCUCCACCAUGCAAUCAGAGUGGCCACCUAAAUGAAGGGAUAAAUAGAUGAUCGUGAAAAUGGGAGAAAGAACUUUGCUGACGAUUUGCAUUACUUGCAUUAUCAUCUCACGGCAGGAGCAACAGUAGUAUCUAGUAGUAAUGCAAUCAGGAGACGGAGACAGAUUCAGAAGAGUAAACUUACUUGAAAGAUGGCGGGUUGAAGGCCAUUCGGGGACAUAUUUUCCAAGGGAUAGCAGUGAAGCCGCAGAUAGUCUCUCCAAUUGUGCACGGUCUCCUUUUUCACAUUAAAGCUUGUUGAAAGCCUCGUGGUUUUGGAUGGAUCGUCGGAGUACAACUUGAGCUUCUCUUCAACCGGAACUGAAGAAUUCCGUCGCCGUCUCAAGCAUUUUGUCCACCGCAUCCUUGGAAACCCCGUGAUUUAUUACUGGUGAAGUGAUCCACAGAAAAAAAUUAGGGAUAUUUCCAUGUGACACGAAUGAUAAAUCUCUGGAGCAAGACGUGCGGUACUUUUUCACCAUAAAUGAAAAUGCCGGAGAAAGGGAAAAAGAGUCUGAAGCUGAAAUGAAAACCGCUGGAAAAAUGAAAUAUUAGUUUGCGAACCUGGAAAAAACCAUAGUCCCGACACGCAUCGCCAAUUUGUCGGACCACGAGGUUCCUAUCCCCGAAGCCUAGGUCAACUACCGGGACAUUUUGGCAAUCGGAAACUUCAGAGAGUCUUGGCCUUUCGGAUUCUGGACGGACGUAGCUUUCGGGGAGGCUCGUAUACUUGAUUCCGCUGGAAAUAACUUUAGUUUCCAUGGAACUUGCAGGCCACUGGAAAGUAGAAACAUAAAAUAAAUAUAAAAAUUAAGAAGGGAUGCUGAAGCAGGCCGUAACCGUUAGGACGAGUACAGUGCUGCACCGCCGCUCCAAUUAUUUAGGCUUUAGGCUUCUGCCUGGAAAUUGCUUUCGUCCCCCUGCGUAUAUAUAUAAUUAUACGUAAGGCUCUCCCCUUGGCAGCGAUGGUACGGAAGAAGUAGUUUUGGUUGACUCAAAGUCUACAACCAAUCGCUAUUUUACACUUCGACUUUUGGGCACGCCCUUCUUUUUUUUUUUUUUUUUUUUGGGAUAAUUGCAGGUUUCUGACAUUUGCACUGACCUCUCAUGUGGUUUUAAAAAUUACACUGCCCUCCCCUGAGAUUACUAAUUCUUUGCAAAUUUAGUCCAAACGAUUAAAAUAUUAUUUUAGGGAGUGAAAUUAGAAUUUUGCACCAGAUUUGCUCUUUGUGUUAUAUGUCCAAUGAAUGACAAAGUACUAUAAAUCAAUUAACAAUUAAUAAACUUUAACGAGUAUAAUUUAUGGGUAAAUACGUAUUACUCAUUUAAAAUACUGACUCUUUACGGGUAUUUUACUUUCAAACAUUUAAUUUGUGAUAAAUAUAUCAAUAUUGUAGGUAAAAUUCAAAAAAUGUUACAGUAAUAUUCUUGUAAAAAGGAAAUCGGUAGGUUAUUUAUUUAAUAUAAAUUAAAUAUUUUUUAAAAAAAAAAGAAAUGACUCAUAAAGUAUUAAUUUUUUAUAACUUUCAUCUAUUACAUGAGUAAAAUAUUCGCUCUUUAUGUGCAUUUUAUUCAUUUAAUUUAUGUUAAAUAUAUAAAUAUUUGUAACUAAAAUUGGACUUUUGGGCACGCCCUUUUCUUUUUGCUUAUAAUUCUUAGGGAUAAUUUCAAAAACCUCCCUCAGGUUUCAGACAAUUUCACUCGACUCCUCUCAAGUUUUAAAAAUUAUAUUUACCUCCCUUGACAUAGUAAAAUGCGUAUAAUGUCCUCUACUUGGUAGACAAUUUUAAAUUUAAGGCAGUAAUUUACAUAAUCCAAAAAAUAUUUUUUUUUCUGUCUCUUGUCUAUUUUAGCUUCUCUUUUUUCUAGUUAAUGUAACCUCUUUUUAUUAUCUUCAUAUUUAUGGAUAUUAGCAAAUUGAAAUUACAAAAUCAAUCGAUGGAGCAAAUUAUAUAUCAAACAAGAAGGAAACAAAGAGACUCCCAAUGAUGGAAAAAAAAAUAAUAAAAUUGAUAAUUGAAAUAGGAAGAAAAACUAAAGAUGUGAAAUUUGGCAUAUUUUAUUUGUUGUCAAGAAAAACUUUUAUAAAAUAUCAAUAUUUACGUAAGGAUUUCUUUCAUUAAAUUAGAAAAUUUUUAUUAUAAUUUUAUUGUGGAGGUAAAAUUUGUUCUUUACUUUUGAGAUAUUUAUAUUUUUAAAACCAUAGAAGGGUUGUACUGAUGGUUCUAGAUCAGAUUAACUUGUAUUGAAAAAGUAUUUGAACAUUGAAAAUUUGGGGUAUAAAAUUGGUUAUCAAUGGGGUUUGUGUGUGUUUUAUUUCUUUUUUUUUUUGUAUGACGAGUAUUGAUUAUGUAUAUACAAUUUGUAAUCUUUUGGAUGGUUAUUUGAUUUUAAAACUUAUAUUUGAACGAUCGUUCAGGAUUAAACUUGUUGAUUUGUGCAAAAUAUGGAAGAAAAUGAUUAAAUAUACUUUAUUUUUUUCUUAGUUUUGUACAAAAGGACAAUUUAUGAUUUUUGUGAGAAAAUCUAUCUUAUUGGACCAAUAUUAUUACUAAACAGUAAAAAUAGGGAGACAUAUGUAAUUUUUAAAAGUUAAAGAGAGCUCUUUAUAAUUGUUAAAAAUCUUAAGGGAUGUUUGUGAAAUUAUUCCUAUUUCUUAUUUGGUUCCUUAAGCACACAAACCAACACCACCCCACCUCCCCAAAAAAACAAAAAACCCUUAAAGGGAGGGGGGGAGUUUUAAACGGAUGAUUUAGAGAGAAAGAGAGAGAGAGAGAGGAAAAAAAAAAAGAAGCCUCCGAAAGGGUAAGUGGCAAGAAAACUUGCAACGUUAACUAGUGAAUAAAUGAAGAAAUAGGUGCAAAACAGCAGAAGUUGGAAAAAGCUUUCGCUUCUCCGAUUAAUUCUCGACUUGUUCUAGGAUCGAUGGAAAUGGCAUAAAACGAGUCUAGUUGACUCUCUGACCUCGUGGACCAAAAGAAAUUAGGGGAGGCGCAGCCGCGCAAGCCCGCUAGUUGCUAGUUUUUUUUUAUCAAAAAAAUUGUAUAUUUUUUGUGAGUAUAUUUUUUGAUUUCAUAUAUAUCAAAUCUUCCCAUUAACAAUUAUUAAUCAGAUGGACUUGUGGCGCUAAUUAGUGGUGAUUGAAUAUGCUAGAGUCAUUAUGAAUUAAAUGCUUUUUGCAGUGUUUUUAAAAAGUACUGUAUUUUUAAAAAAAUUAAAGUUUAAUCGUUUUAAGAUGUUUUUAAGAUUUUAAAAAUUUUAAAGUACUUUUGAAAGACACGAAAGUUACCUUUCUCAUCAGCCACUUCAGUGGUUUCCUUCAAUGGAAUUUUCCAUCGAUUAGAUUCUCCUUUCCCCUAAAAUAUGAUAAAAUAGGUUAGAUAAAUGUUAUCAUUAUUAAAAAUAUAUAUAUAUCACCCUCUCCUCCUCCUCUCUGUUGUGAAUGAUAGAUAUUUCAAAAGAUUUUAUUAUGCUUGUUAUGAUAAGAGGUUAUCUAAUAAAGCUUUCCAAACGUCUGUUCCUAUUCUUAGGGAGAAUUUUUUCAACGACAAAAUUUUGAUAAGGCCUAAAAGGCAAAGUCAGAACGCUAGUUAAUAUGUUUUAGCCAAAGGAAUUGUUCACGUGCUUGCUUUGACUAUUUCAAACAUUUCGGCUUUCACAAUAGAGGAUAGACCUCUGACCACUUCAAAUGCUAAAUCUGGUACGAGAUGCAUGCAUAUCCUCACGAAAAAUCAACUCUCAAAAUCCUAUCCUCUAUCACUCUAUUCCGUAUCUUGUAGCCUAUAAAUAUAACCAUUUGUCGAGUUCAUUUGCACGCUGAUCAACGAAGACUACACUUCGUGAACUCCCUAUUCCUUCUCCUCUAUUUGCUUUCUUGUUCGUGAACUCUUUCUUCCUUCUCCUCUAUUUGCUUUCCUUAAUUUUUUUUUUAUUUUACCUGCUGGUGUUGGAAUGAAAUUUUGCUGGUUCUACAUCCCUCUCACUAAACAGAGGAAGACUUGUUUAAUCCUGGGGAAACAUUUCGAUACUCUGAAAUAGUUUCUUAGGACAGUGCUUUCAAGCACGACUCAAGUGUUCAAGUGUUAGCAUUGUUCGGGCCAUUUCUCCAACAUUCUAAGAAACUAUGGCAUCUGACAAUGUUAGCACCCCACAGCCUUCAUCAGCAACUGUUGCACUGGCACUACCAUUCGCCAAGCCCUUUCCGGAUGUAUCCAAAAUUGAAAUUUUCGCCAAUGAAAAUUUUAAAAGAUGGCAAGAACGUGUGCACUCUCUACUUGACAUCCACGGAGUAGCUUAUGCGCUCACUGAAUCUCAACCUUCUGCAAUUACGGAUGCCAAGACUCAAGAAGCAUGGCAAUAUACUAAUAUGGUAUGUCGACACACUAUCCUUCAAACACUCUCUAAUGAAUUAUUUGACGUCUACUGUAGCAGCAAAGAAGCCAAGGCAAUUUGGGAAGCCUUGAUAACAAAAUUUACUGUCGAAGAUGCAACCAAGCAAAAAUUCGUCGUAGGAAAAUACAACCAAUGGCAAAUGAUUGAUGACAAGGAGAUGAAAAUUCAAAUCACCGAAUAUGAAAUGCUGCUAGAAGACUUGAAAAAUGAAGACAUCAAUCUUCCUGAGAAAUUCGCUACAGGCAUGCUGAUUGAAAAGCUACCUGAGUCAUGGGCCGACUAUAAAAAAAACUUGAAACACAAGGAGAAAAAUUAUACCAUGGAUGAGCUCGUGAAGCACAUCCUCGUUGAGGAUUCAAACAAAAGGGAGUUUAGAGCUACCAAGGCAAAGGAGAUGGCUUUCAAAACCAAUCUAGUACAAGGCAAUAAUAAAAUGUACGCCAAUAAAUCUCAGAAUUACAAGCCCAAAAAUUUUAAUUUCAAGUCUAACAAUCCCAACUUUAAGAAAAGGAAAGUCAAUUGCUUUUAUUGUAGAAAAUCAGGACAUCAUGCAUUACAAUGUAGACUUAAUAAAGGUGACAGAGCAAAUGGUAAUCCUCUUAAGGUGCACUUAACCGAAGAAGAUGAUAUAAUUGUUGCUGUCAUCUCUCAAGUGAACAUUGCAGCCAAUGUCAAAGAGUGGGUGGUAGACUCUGGGGCUACUCGACACAUAUGUGCAAAUCGAGAAGCAUUUUCCUCAUAUACUCCUAUAGGGGAUGAUGAAGAAGUGGUCUACCUUGAUGACUCACGAACGGCUAAUGUUCUGGAUAAGGGCAAAGUAUUCCUGAAACUCAAUUCAGGAAAAACUUUGGCUCUCAAUAAUGUGCUGCAUGUGCUCAACAUUCUGGCAAAUCUGGUUUCCGUAGCAUUGUUAGGAAAAGUUGGAGUGAAAGUGUCAUUUAAAUUUGGAAAGAUUAUAAUGACUAAAAAUAAUGUAUUUGUCGGCAAGGGCUAUUGUAAUCAGGAACUUUUUGUACUUAACAUUUUCAAUGUGAUAAAUGAGAAUGCUUCUUCUUCUGAUUCUAUUGUUGACUCGAUUUCUUUAUGGCAUGCAAGAUUAGGACAUGUUAAUAUUAGUUAUAUAAAGAAAAUGCAAUCUUGUGGUCUAAUUUCAAUAUGAGAUAUGUGCAGAAACUAAAAUGACAAAGAAGACUUGUAUAACUAUUCAAAGAGAAACUGAACUAUUAAAUCUAAUCCACACAGAUUUAGGUGAUUUAAACAAACUAUGACUAGAGAAGGAAAAAAAUAUUAUGUCACCUUUGUCGAUGACUACUCUAGAUAUACUAAACUUUACAUACUUAGAAAUAAAGAUGAUACUCAUAAUGCCUUCUUAUCUUAUAAGCCUGAGGUAGAAAAUUAACUUAAUAAGAAGAUAAAAAGAAUUAGGUCUGAUAGAGGAGGCGGAUAUUUAGCCUUAGAUAAAUUUUAUGAACAUGAAGGCAUAAUACACGCAACCACCUCCUUAUUCGCCAGAAUCUAAUGGAGUAGCUGAAAGAAAAAAUAGAACAUUAAAAGAAAUGAUGAAUUCUAUGUUAGUUAGUUCUCAUGCUCCUGAUAAUUUAUGGGGAGAAGCUAUUUUAUCUGCAUGUCACUUAUAAAAUAGGAUACCUCAUAAGAAAACUGGUAAAACCCUCACGAGUCAUAAAAAAUUAUAAACCUAAUUUGAAAUAUUUAAAAGUAUGGGGGUGUCUUGCUAAAGUAUUAUUGCCUGAAUCUAAAAAAAGAAAAUUAGAUUCUAAACUUCUGAUUGUAUGUUUAUUGGAUAUGCUGAAUAUAGUGCUGCGUAUAGAUUUCUUGUUUUAAGAAGUGAUGUGCUUGAUUGUAAUACAAUUAUUGAGACAAAGAAUGCUGAAUUUUUUAAACACAUUUUUCCACUGUCUAGUAAAAUUUCUCAUACACCUGUUGAAAUAAAUAGAGAAAUAAUCCCGAAUGAUGAAUUAAGAAGGAGUAAAAGGCCAAGAAAAAGAAUUUCUUAUGGAAAUGAUUUUUAAACUUUUCUUGUUGAUAAUGACCCUUUAACAUAUUUCGAUGCUUUCUUCCUUGAUUGUAAAUUUUGGAAAGAAGCAAUUAAAACUGAAAUCGAUUCUAUCUUGUCAAAUAAAAUUUGAAUUUUUGUAGAUUUACCUCCUGGUGCAAAAUCUAUUGGUUGCAAGUGAAUUUUUAAAAGUAAAUAUAACUCUGAUGGCUCUAUAGAAAAGUACAAAGCUCGUUUAGUAGCAAAAGGAUUUUCUCAAAACAAAAUAUUGACUAUUUUGAUACAUUUGCACCAGUAACAAGAAUUGCAUCUAUUCGAGUUUUAUUUGCUUUAAACCUCUAUCUUUAAACUUGUAAUUCAUCAAGUGGAUGUCAAACAGCCUUUCUAAAUGGUGAUUUAGAGGAAGAAAUUUAUGUGUUUCAACUUGAGAGGUGUAUUGUAUCUGGACAAGAAAAUAAGACUUGUAACUAAUUAAAUCUUUUAUGGCCUAAAACAAGCUCCUAAACAGUGGCAUGAGAAAUUUGAUCAAGUGUUGAUAAAAGAUGGAUUCUCGUCUGUAGAAGUGGAUAAAUGUGUGUAUGUCAAAAUUAUAAAUGAUCAAUAUGUGAUAAUCAGCUUAUAUGUGGAUGACAUACUUAUAUUUGGUACUAGUCUAGAUAUUGUAAUAGUACUAAAUACUUUUUGUCCUUUAAUUUUGAUAUGAAAGACUUAGGUGAAGCCAAUAAUAUUGGGUGUUAAUAUCAUAAGGAGAGCUGAUGGUAUAAUGUUGUCACAAGAACAUUAUACAGAAACUUCUUGAGAAGUUUGAAAAUUAUGACGCGACACCUGUGAGUAUCCUUAUGACGCUAACACUCAAUUGAGAAAAAAUAAUGGCGACCCAAUUGCUCAGUCUAAAUAUGUUCAAAUCAUUGGGAGUCUGAUGUAUCUGAUGAAUCUCACUAGACCGGAUAUAGUUUAUACUGUAUGUAGACUGAGUAGAUAUACUCACUAUCCAAUCGUGAGCAUUGGUUUGCAUUAAUCAGACUAAUGAAAUAUUUGAGAGGUACCAUGUUUUGGUAUCCUAUAUAGUGGAUUUUUCACUGUAUUAGAGGGUUACAGUGAUGCUAACUGGAUCUCUGAUCCAAACGAUACAAAUUCACUAGUGGUUAUGUGUUCACCCUUGGUGGUGGUGCGGUAGCAUGAAAAUCAACCAGACAGACAAUUAUUGCUCGGUCAACUAUGGAAUCGGAGUUCAUGCUCUAGAGUUGACUGCUCUGAGGCAGAUUGGUUAAGAAAUUUCUUAGUCAAUAUUCCUCCUAUUAAGGAUCUGUUGCCUCCUGUGUCUAUACAUGUGACUGUGAAACGGCAAUUGCUAUUGCAAAAAAUAAAUCCUAUAAUUGUAAAAGUCGACACAUGAGAUUAAGAUAUGAUGUCAUAAAGCAGCUGCUUAGGGAUGGAAUUAUUUCUAUUGAUUUUGUGAAGUCAUAGUUGAAUUUGACCGAUCCUCUAACUAAACCUGUAGAAAGAAAAUUAAUUCUUCAAAUUACAAGAGAGAUGGGACUUGGGCCAACGGUUGUCAAUAAAGAUGGUAACCCAACCUAUAUGAUUGGUGAUCCCAUGAAAUAGGUUCAUAUGGGUAAUAACAAGUCGAUAUUGACUAUAAAUCACUUGAAAUUUAAGUCCCUUCAAAGAUAAGUGCUUUGACUGCCAGUAAUUGUGAGGUUGAGUUUAAUACUCUUAAUGAAUUUAUAUCCCUUUAGGGAGGUGUAUUUAAAGCAGUACACACUUGAUAAA